Molecule: ribosomal RNA, 460 nt
Filed under: uncultured bacterium
Lineage: Bacteria
Description: partial 16S ribosomal RNA
Rfam family: Bacterial small subunit ribosomal RNA
Source: RNAcentral
CCUACGGGGUGCAGCAGUGAGGAAUAUUGGUCAAUGGGCGCAAGCCUGAACCAGCCAAGUCGCGUGAGGGAUGACGGUCCUAUGGAUUGUAAACCUCUUUUGUCGGGGAGCAAGGCCCGCCACGUGUGGCGGGAAGGAGAGUACCCGAAGAAAAAGCAUCGGCUAACUCCGUGCCAGCAGCCGCGUUAAUACGGAGGAUGCGAGCGUUAUCCGGAUUUAUUGGGUUUAAAGGGUGCUGAGGCGGAAGGUUAAGUCAGCGGUAAAAUGGCGGUGCUCAACACCGGCCUGCCGUUGAAACUGGUCUUCUUGAGUGAGCGAGAAGUAUGCGGAAUGCGUGGUGUAGCGGUGAAAUGCAUAGAUAUCACGAAGAACUCCGAUUGCGAAGGCAGCAUACCGGCGCUCAACUGACGCUGAGGCACGAAAGCGUGGGGAUCGAACAGGAUUAGAUACCCUAGUAGUC